This 253-nucleotide ribosomal RNA is filed under the name uncultured bacterium. RNAcentral describes it as "partial 16S ribosomal RNA". It matches the Rfam family "Bacterial small subunit ribosomal RNA", at positions 524 to 776 of the family's 1533-position model. The record is from RNAcentral.
UACGAAGGGGGCUAGCGUUGUUCGGAAUCACUGGGCGUAAAGCGCACGUAGGCGGAUGUGCCAGUCAGGGGUGAAAUCCCGGAGCUCAACUCCGGAACUGCCUCUGAUACAGCACGUCUUGAGUUCGAGAGAGGUGGGUAGAAUUCCUAGUGUAGAGGUGAAAUUCGUAGAUAUUAGGAAGAACACCGGUGGCGAAGGCGGCCCACUGGCUCGAUACUGACGCUGAGACGCGAAAGCGUGGGGAGCAAACAGG